ACUCCUACGGGAGGCAGCAGUGAGGAAUAUUGCGCAAUGGGCGAAAGCCUGACGCAGCAACGCCGCGUGGAGGAUGACGGUUUUCGGAUUGUAAACUCCUGUUAAGUGGGAAGAAAGAGCUAUCUCUAAUAAAGAUAGAAGAUGACGGUACCACUAGAGAAAGCACCGGCUAACUUCGUGCCAGCAGCCGCGGUAAUACGAGGGGUGCAAACGUUAUUCGGAUUGACUGGCGUAAAGGGUGCGUAGGUGGCAUUUUAAGUCUGUUGUUAAAUCUUUUGGCCUAACCAAAAGGUCGCGAUGGAUACUGGAGUGCUAGAGGGUAGAAGAGAGAAGUGGAAUUCUCGGAGUAGCGGUAAAAUGCGUAGAUCUCGAGAGGAACACCGAUGGCGAAGGCAGCUUCUUGGUCUACUUCUGACACUGAGGCACGAAAGCGUGGGUAGCAAACAGGAUUAGAUCCCUGGUAGGCUCU
RNAcentral lists this ribosomal RNA (469 nucleotides) under uncultured bacterium. RNAcentral's name for it is "bacterial SSU rRNA". It matches the Rfam family "Bacterial small subunit ribosomal RNA", at positions 335 to 798 of the family's 1533-position model. The record is from RNAcentral.